GACGAACGCUGGCGGUGUGCUUAACACAUGCAAGUCGAACGGUAAGGCCCUUUCGGGGGUACACGAGUGGCGAACAGGUGAGUAACACGUGAGUAACCUGCCCUCAUCUCUGGGAUAACAGUCGGAAACGGUUGCUAAUACUGGAUAUGAGCUUGCAAGGCAUCUUGUGGGUUGGAAAGAUUUUUUUGGUUGGGGAUGGACUCGCGGCCUAUCAGCUUGUUGGUGAGGUAGUGGCUCACCAAGGCUUCGACGGGUAGCCGGCCUGAGAGGGCGACCGGCCACAUUGGGACUGAGAUACGGCCCAAACUCCUACGGGAGGCAGCAGUGGGGAAUAUUGCACAAUGGACGGAAGUCUGAUGCAGCAACGCCGCGUGCGGGAUGACGGCCUUCGGGUUGUAAACCGCUUUCAAUUGUGACGAAGCUUUUUGUGACGGUAGCAGUAGAAGAAGCACCGGCUAACUACGUG
This 466-nucleotide ribosomal RNA is filed under the name uncultured bacterium. RNAcentral describes it as "partial 16S ribosomal RNA". It matches the Rfam family "Bacterial small subunit ribosomal RNA", at positions 28 to 507 of the family's 1533-position model. The record is from RNAcentral.